Hypanus sabinus (Atlantic stingray) is the source of this 3201-nucleotide long non-coding RNA. RefSeq lists it as uncharacterized. The record is from RefSeq and is a predicted model, not a curated record. Lineage: Eukaryota; Metazoa; Chordata; Chondrichthyes; Myliobatiformes; Dasyatidae. The transcript has 3 exons.
AAGGAAAAUUUCACCACAAGUCCGUUAAAAUGAGUUUUUAGCCACUGUGCCUUCUUCAACUUUAGCAUUCUUCCAAGAAAUGCACAGCUCUUGGCAAGCACUGCCAAAACAGAGAUCUGGGGCUCAAUGCCCUCACCAAGCAGAUUAUGUAUUGCAUUGAUCUGCUGCUGCUAAGUUAACAAAUUUCACAUCACAUGCCGAUGACAAUAAACCUGAUUCCUGAUUGCUGUUUCUUGCAACAUGCCCCAGGACAAGUUCUUUCCUGAAGGUGCAGGCCUUUAGAUGAUUGGCGAGGCUGAGCACUGCUUCUGACCUUGCCCAUCAUGCAGUAUGACCCAUCCUGCAUUUCACCAUAGGCAACACCAAACUGGAGGAGGAAAAUGAAGAUUCAAAGGGUCAGGGGAGGCUGGAGAAGAUUGGAAAUAGGGCAAGCAAAGAAGAUGGGGGGAGGAGGUUUGGGGAAGGUGGAGAAGAUGACUGGGAAAGAUGGAGGAAAGAACUGGGGAAUUGAAGGGGAGGACUGUAGAAGAUGGAGAAUUGGGGAAGAUAAAAAGGAGGACAGCAGAAGACAAAAGGCUCAUGAAGUUCCAGAGGGUGGACGUCAGGAUAUCAAGAGAACUUAGAUUGGGUUGGCAAGCUGGAGCAACACGCAAGGAUCACGAUGAGGUAGAGUGAGAGCUCGAGUCCGUUCUUAUUAUACAAGUGAUCUCCUCAAAAGAACUAUAACAGUGGGUUAGAAACUGUCCUCGAGACUGAUGGUGUGUCUUUUCACCUUUUGUAUCUUCUACUCGACGGGAUGGUGGAGAAGAGAGUAUGGCUGAGGAGUGACGGAUCAUUACUGAGCUAACAGUCGGCCCUUCAUGGAUACAGUGGCAUGAAAACGUUUGGGCACCUUGGUCAAAAUUUCUGUUACUGUGAAUAGUUAGCUGUCUGAGGUAUCCAUCUGCUUCAAGCAGGCUUCAAUCAUACUGGUGCCCAAGAAGGUGAUAACCUGCCUCGAUGGCUAUCCUCCAGCAGCACUUAGAUGCAAUGUGAUGAAAUUGCUGAAAAUUGCUGUGAGAAAUCCUGAAGCACAUCAGCUCUUGCCUGAAGAGUGACCAGGUCUACUCCAAUUUGCCUACCAUCGCAACAGGUCAACAGCAGAUGCCAUUUCAUUGGCCCUUCACUCAGCUUUGGAACAACUGAACAACUAAGGUGCAUACACCAAGAUGAUCUUCCUUGAUCAGAGCUCCACAUUCAACACUAUCAUCCUCAAAAUUAAUCACUAAGCUGCAAGACCUGGGCUUCAAUAUCUCCCUGUGCAACUAGAUCCUUGAUUUCGUCACUUGCAGACCCCAAUCAGAUUGGAUUGGCCACAAUCAAUGUCAGCACAGGAGAGUCACAGGGCUGCUUGCUGUUCUACUCACAUUAUACCUUAAUUGUGUGCCUAAGUACGGCUCCAAUGCCAUAUUCAAGUUUGUUGAUGACACUACUGUUAUUGGCCAAACCAAAGGUGGUGAUGAAUAAGCAUGUAAAAGGGAAAUGGAAACCUGGAUCAAACGGUGCCAAAACAACAACCUCUCACUCAACGCCAGCAAAACCAAAGAGCUGAUUAUCGACCACAGGAGGAGGAAGCUGGAGGUCCAUGAGGCAGCCCUCAGUAGGGGAUCAGAGGUGGAGAGUGUCAGUAGCUUUAAAUUCUUUGGUGUUAGUAUAUCAGAGGGUCUGUCCGAGGGCCAUCAUGGCAGCUCCUCUGCCUUCUUAGAUUUUUAUGUAGAUUCGGCAUGUUACCACAACCUUCAAUAGAUACACAGUGGAGAGCAUCCUACCUGAUCGGAUUGCAGUCUGGUAAGGAAACAGCAAUGCCCAGGAAUGGAAAAGCCUACAGAUAUUGGUGGAUACAGCCCAAUCCAGCACAGGCAACACCUUUCCCGCCAUUGGGCACGUUUACAAGGAGUACUGCCACAGGAAAACAGCACCCAACAUCAAGCACUCCCAUCAUCCAGGUCACGCUCACUUCUCACUCCUACCAUUGUGACAAAGGUGCAGAAAAUUUGGUUCAGGAAUGGUUACUACACUACAGCCAUCGGACUCCUGAACCAAUGGGGGUAAUUUCACUCACCUCAGCUCUGAACUGAUUCCUUAACCUGCAGACAUGCUUCCAAAGACUCUACACUCAUGUUCGCAGUAUUAUUAUGUUCUUUAUUUGCAAAAUUUGCUCUCGUCUGCUCUUUGGUUGUUUGUCAGUCUUUGUUUAUGAUUAGUUUUUCAGAAAUUCUAUUGUAUUUCUUUAUUCCUGUAAAUACCUGCAAGAAGAUGAAUAUUGAGAUAGUAUAUGGUGACAUAUUUGCACUUUGAUGAUAAAUUUACUUUGAUUUUUGGUUUACUUUUAUAUAUGUAACCCCCUGGGUCGCCUCAGGCUCGCUCAGCUCAUUCCCGUCUAGGGGGAGCAGCCUUCGGCCCCACCAAACUGGGUAAUCAGCUGGUGUGGAUGCUGUGUGAUGUCCCCGCCUCGCCCAAAACCAGACAGUACACCAUAAGCGAUUAAAUGAGUACAAUUUAUAAAGGUUACUAUAACUAAGUGAUUAAUAACGAUACAGUAUAUAUGAAGAGAAAAAAUAAGAAAAGGCGCCAAACUUAUCAAAGUCCAAACCACUUCGUGCACAGCCGUUGGAGCUCAAUUACUGAAGUCUUCUGGCCACCAUUCGAUCCCCUCCGAACUCCUCGACUCGCAGUUCAGGACCCUCCAAGUGGUCAACCAAGCACAUCUAGCUUCAUCUCCUCUCCUCGGAGUACCUCCCGGCCUCGGACCCCCGCUUGGGGUCCGAUCCUCGCCCAGCUUACAGCAUUGCGUCCUCACUCUCAAACCCCUUCACGCCGAUCUCCCCAAAAGCCCGCCAAUGAAAGCUUACAGACUCAGAAGAAAGAACAUUAAUCCCCAUUUGGUUUACAAAGGAAUACCAUUCUCCCAGCACUCUCUCGCAACAAAGAAGCAUUCCUGCUAGUUAACAAAACAAUAGAAGCCCUUUUGAUUACAUACACAGUAACAAAGAAAAAAAGAAAAAAAACCCUUUACAUAUACUAUCAUAAUGCAUUUAUAACAGCACUGAAGCUGAGUAACACAGUGGGCCUACAGCCACUGGAGUCAUGGACCUAUCAUCAGAAUAUUGGGUGGUACUGAAGUGGUCAGGACGAAGCAUGAUCAAAAGGCACAUUUUUGGC